CCAAACCAUAUUUCCUCGAAGGAGAAUAAAAAAUCUAAACAAAGCCUCUCUUCCAUUAUUUGAUCUAGCUCCGCCUCCACCUCUUCUCCACCAUCUACACAUCUAUAUCAUCCGAAUAUAUUCGAUCUCGCGUAAACCUAAUUAACUCCUGCGAUCUCCACUGCUAACUCCUUUCAUCCUAAUAUAAUCUGAGCAUGCUUUUGAUUUUCUAUUUUUUGGUGUGAUUAUAUGGAAUUGAUUAUAAAUCAAAAAUAAUCAAGGUUACAAUUUUAUUUGUUUCAUAGACCUAAUUUUACAUUUUUUUUCUUCCAAUUAUUGAUGAUGUUAUUUUUUUGCGGAUUUGAUUUACAGGUAUUCCUCUCUGCCCUGCAGGAGGUUUUUUUUUUUUUUUUUUUUUUUUUUUUUUUUCUUAAACGACCAAAAGAUUUACACCCUUAUCAUAUGGUUUUGUUUUGGACAUUCAAAUCCUUAUCAUAUGGUUUUGUUUUGGACAUUCAAAAGUAAGCAGAUAGUAUUAGGUUUUCGUUCACCCUCUGUUUUAUCCUCUUUGGAUUGCGUUUUUAGUUUUAUGUAUUGACUUUAUCUUUUUAAUUUUUAAUGAAUGUUGUUUUUAGUGAAAUCAAUAACUCCAAUAGGUAUGAGCACCUUUUCUCUUAUAUUAGCUUUGUUUUUUGAUUGAUGUUAUUGAUUUUGUUGGAAGACGUUUAUAUUAGGACUUUGAUUGCAGACGUAAUGUUUCUUUAGUGAUGGGUGAACCUAAUGUUUGGGGUUUUGCCAUCUUUAUGUCCUAUGAUAUUACUAAACAUGUGAUUUCUCUUUGGUUCUGUUUCGUCAAAUCUUUCAAUUUAUUAGGUGGUAUUUUGUUUUGAGUUAGCAUUUGAUUCUAUCUACUUUAGAGAUAUACACAGAUAAAGCUCCCUCUAUUUUACUAACAUUCAUUAUUGAGAUAAAGCUUUUAAAUUGGUAGAAGUCUGACUGAGAUUAAUUAUGUUUUCAUUUUGGUUUCGGAUAUCGUAGCAAUUAUUGUGCAUCCUAAAUGGGGGUAAAACUCUUUCAACUUAUGGGUAGAACGUUGCUGUAAUGCUCGAAUUGUUGAAUCUGAUGAAAGACAGAUAGGAAUGGAGUCAUAGAAGAUUCUAUUUACGUUUUGGUUUCUUUAUAAUUUAUGUUAUAUGUAAUUCAAAUGCUAUUGAGUUUAAGUUGGUUCACUUGGAUUUCCUUUUGCAAGAUUUUAUUGACUGUUUGAUUGAGAGAACAAAUUUUGAAAGGACAUAAUUCAAUUUCUGGGUACAAUUACUAGAUUUUCUUUUCGAUCAAACGGGUACAAUUGGAAGAUUUUGUUGCAUAUUGUUUCAACGAUUUUUAUCAUGUGAAUUUAUUUAAAUGCAUGUGUUACUGUGAUACUAUGAGUCUGGUGUGUGCUUAACAGUUCUUGGGAUAUGGAAAACCAGAAUAGAGUAUUUAACUCAUACGAUCUGCCCACAGAACCUGAAGCUACUUUUUUUGGUGUUUUUGCAAAAAAGAUUCCAGUGGAAUUAAAGGUGCAAUACGGGUACUUCUAAUACAGUGAUUCACUCUCCUGAUGGAAAUUAUGUGCCCAGUUGUUAAUUCCUAACUUACAUGGGAGCCUGGAAAUGUUAGCCGCUCUGAUAUCUGCAUCAAACUCUACAGGGAAGCUAUCUUGAGUUCGUUUGUACCACUUCUUUUGUAUUCAUCAUUGGUCUUCGCAGACCAAGACCAACACCAUUACCGCCACUCUUUAGAAGAAGAAUUACAGAACAAGACCAACGCCUUUACCACUAUUAUUUUAAUUUUUAAAAAGUCAAAAAUUUGACUUAUUGGAGAACUGUACUAGAAGGAUAUUGAUUGCAUUGUCAUUAAUGUCAAACUGCAGGGUUUCUUUGGUGUUUAUGGUGGUUAUGAAAAUCAAUUUUUUAUUUGAUAAUAAUUUAUCUUUGUAGUUUUAACAUAUUUAAAUGGAUGUAGCUGCUAAUAACGAAUUUUGGACCACUGUUCCACAGAAGUUACACCACAUUGACGGAUAACACUUCUCAAAAAGUUAGCAAAAAGGGAGUCUACGUACCAGGAUUUUAACAUGCAGGUGUAAUCGGUGAUGAAAAACAGAUUGACACUGUCCAAAACUCUCCCAUGUUUGUUAGUUGAAGACCUAUUUGAAAGAUUAUGGGAGAAAUUCACAAGUACAGAUUACCACCAACCAAGCCAAUGGUUGUAGAGACCUUCUCUCAGUACCCACCUCUUGGACGUUUCGUUGUUAGGGACAUGAGGCAGACAGUUGUUGUUAGUGUCAUCAAGGAAGUUGAGAAAAAGGACCCAACAUGAGCCAAUGUUACCAAGUCUGCUGUCAAGAAGAAGUAAAGUGUUCCAGUAAGUACAUCGACUGUAGGAGAAACUGUUGGUGUCCAGGUGCGUGCUUUUCGUUACAGUUAGUGCCAUCACCGUAAUUAACCUUCAGAAUCUCUAUUUUUCUUUAUUGGUUUCCUGAAAGUUGCAAAGAUCUGUGACGGUGCCCAAAGUGCACCUAUGGCAUACAAAACAGAGAACGGUAAUAUGUCUCAGAAGGCAGGGAUAAUCCAUGCAGUCUACCAAUGCUCAUGAGUCUGCUACUGGUUAUCGUACACGUGAUUUUCCUUUAGGUGGAGCUACAGAAAAAUAAUAGUUAAAUAUGAACUUGAAUUACUAUAAAAAAAAAAUUUGUCUACUAAGCUAAUGUAUUUUAUACUACUUUUUCUCGUACUUAGUUUCUCCUUUUCAAUCUUAGGUUAUAAUGAACGCGAUCCCAACAACAAAAAUUCUGGAAGACUUUUCAAGAAACUUAACUCCAGUUUAGUAAUUUAAGUUCUUAGUUUCUCGCUUAAAUGAAAUGAUACAAAGUGGCUUUUAUGGAGUAUCAACGCCAAUCCACUUCUUCUUAGAAAGAUGAUCGGUAUACUUGGCUUCACAGGUACAUACAUUUCUCUUUUGCCUAUCCUAUCUAUCUUUGUAUUCGUUCAAGUGGAAAAUGAGUGCCUAUAGUGUUGAACUUAGAUGUUGCACUUUCUUUGAUCCUAAAGUCCAGGUUCUAGGGGCAUGCCAUUGUAGUUUUAGCAGAUAAAUGCAUUAUGCACGUGAGUUAUUUGGUGAAUUUAAUGUCGAUCUAUUGACGUUUUAUGAUAUGAUUGAAAUUCCACUUCAUGUCUGAUAUAUACACCUUUCCUUUUUUCUUUAAUAUCUAUAUGAUAUUAUACACAUAAUUAAUCUUACACAGAGGCAGAUAAAUCCCCCUUAAUUUCACUAACAUUUUUAUAUUGGUAGUCUAUUCGAGGUUAUGUUUACAUUUUGGUUUCGGAUAUUGCAGCGAUUUGUACAUUCUAAUUGUGGGCAGAACUUUGUAUGUAUUCACUCCUUUCCUAUCCAUCAUUUCUCUUUUAAGACAGACUGAAUAAUCUAAUGAUGUUUUUGUAUGGCUAUUUUUGAGAUAAUUAAGCUGCUUUUGGUAUGUAGAUUAUCACAUCAACAACUCAUGUACUCAUUUUAACAAAUUAACAUACAUUAUUUGUUUUUAUGCUGUGAUUGUGAUUCUUAUUCGUUUCAAAAUCGAGUAGCAGCAGCAUCCUUGAUAAUUAUCCGAACAGAGUUUGCCAAUGCAGAUUUUAACAAGUUAAGUUGUAUCGCCCCGGUUGUAUUAUGGUGGUAUGUGCAGGAACACAAGCACAGAGGUAGUCAUUAACGCCAACUGUCUUGGUGUUUAUACAAGUCUUCGAGAGCAGCCAAAGAGUAAUCUGGUUUUUAUACUGCAGUUUAGUUUACCACUGUUUUGGACUCAUCUGAUUCGUGAUAAAAUUUGUAACAUGUACGGGUGAACAAAAAAAAUUGAAAAAUCAAAAUUGAGUGAAUUUAAAAAUUUAUUGGACAUCUCCAGCUUGCUUGGAUUUUCCUUUUCGGAACAACUAUGGAUGCCAUGUUCUUUUUCUUGAUUUUUAUGAAACUAGACAUGAAUUUUUCGUG
Molecule: long non-coding RNA, 4005 nt
Organism: Papaver somniferum (opium poppy)
Lineage: Eukaryota; Viridiplantae; Streptophyta; Magnoliopsida; Ranunculales; Papaveraceae
Exons: 2
Source: RefSeq, a predicted model, not a curated record